GAUGAACGCUGGCGGCGUGCCUAAUACAUGCAAGUCGAGCGAACAGACGAGGAGCUUGCUCCUCUGACGUUAGCAGCGGACGGGUGAGUAACACGUGGAUAACCUACCUAUAAGACUGGGAUAACUUCGGGAAACCGGAGCUAAUACCGGAUAAUAUAUUGAACCGCAUGGUUCAAUAGUGAAAGACGGUUUUGCUGUCACUUAUAGAUGGAUCCGCGCCGCAUUAGCUAGUUGGUAAGGUAACGGCUUACCAAGGCAACGAUGCGUAGCCGACCUGAGAGGGAGAUCGGCCACACUGGAACUGAGACACGGUCCAGACUCCUACGGGAGGCAGCAGUAGGGAAUCUUCCGCAAUGGGCGAAAGCCUGACGGAGCAACGCCGCGGGAGUGAUGAAGGUCUUCGGAUCGUAAAACUCUGUUAUUAGGGAAGAACAAAUGUGUAAGUAACUAUGCACGUCUUGACGGUACCUAAUCAGAAAGCCACGGCUAACUACGUG
This 497-nucleotide ribosomal RNA is filed under the name uncultured bacterium. Its description in RNAcentral is "partial 16S ribosomal RNA". It matches the Rfam family "Bacterial small subunit ribosomal RNA", at positions 28 to 507 of the family's 1533-position model. The record is from RNAcentral.